RNAcentral lists this transfer RNA (66 nucleotides) under Varecia variegata (ruffed lemur). Its description in RNAcentral is "tRNA-Cys". It matches the Rfam family "tRNA". Rfam says of the family: Transfer RNA (tRNA) molecules are approximately 80 nucleotides in length. Lineage: Eukaryota; Metazoa; Chordata; Mammalia; Primates; Lemuridae. RNAcentral also lists the same sequence under 1 other name. The record is from RNAcentral.
AGCCCUGAAGUGUUUAUCAUGUUGAAUUGCAAAUUCUAAGAAGCAGCUUCAAUUCUGCCGGGGCUU